GCCAAACCUACAUAGAAAAAGGGAAAGACAAAAACCAUAGAAAAAGACGCCAACAAUGAGGGGAAUUGAAUUCUUUAGUUGAGUCCCACAAAGGGCGGCUGCCAUAGUAUAUAUUCCAAAUGCAUUGGAGAGAUAGAAAAAAGAAGGCUACACUAAUAAUAUAUACACACCGAAAUAGAGAGAGAGGCACUAGAGGAAAAGAGAGAAAUUGGCAGUUGAAAAUAAAUCAAUUGGGCAGAGAAGUGGAAGAACAUUUUGGUAUUGUUUUGGAAGUCAAACAUUGCGGUUGAAUUUAAUAAAUAUACAGCAAUCACAGAAGCCAGAAUUGAAUGGAUUAUGGGG
This 342-nucleotide long non-coding RNA is filed under the name Olea europaea (common olive). Its description in RNAcentral is "long non-coding RNA (OEUR_LNC012232)". Lineage: Eukaryota; Viridiplantae; Streptophyta; Magnoliopsida; Lamiales; Oleaceae. The record is from RNAcentral.